Molecule: ribosomal RNA, 253 nt
Filed under: uncultured bacterium
Lineage: Bacteria
Description: partial 16S ribosomal RNA
Rfam family: Bacterial small subunit ribosomal RNA
Source: RNAcentral
UACGAAGGGGGCUAGCGUUGUUCGGAAUUACUGGGCGUAAAGGGCGCGUAGGCGGUCUGUCGCGUCGGCUGUGAAAUCCCGAGGCUCAACCUCGGGUCUGCAGUCGAUACGGGCAAACUGGAGUGUUGCAGGGGAGACUGGAAUUCCUGGUGUAGCGGUGAAAUGCGCAGAUAUCAGGAGGAACACCGGUGGCGAAGGCGGCUUUCUGGACAGAUACCGACGCUGAGGCACGAAAGCUAGGGGAGCAAACAGG